Molecule: long non-coding RNA, 440 nt
Organism: Nannospalax galili (Upper Galilee mountains blind mole rat)
Lineage: Eukaryota; Metazoa; Chordata; Mammalia; Rodentia; Spalacidae
Exons: 3
Source: RefSeq, a predicted model, not a curated record
AACAACUAAUUUUUGCAAUAAUUGGAACACAAGUGGAGUUUUGGUGAAGGGCUUCCAUUCAUGUAUCUAAUUUGGCAAAUAAUUCUGAAGGCAGGAGAUCCUCAUGAAAUAUACUUGAACUAUGGGUGUACAGCAGCAAGGUGCCAUCUUGGGAGCAGGAAGCAGGAAUCGGCCACAACAAAUACUGAACCUACUGGCACCCAAGACUCGUGCUUCCCAGACUCCAAACAUGUGAGAACUGAACUGCUAUUUAUAGAUUAACAGUCACACAUUUCAUUCGACAACACACUGCAUAGAGCAUGGUGAUCCCAUGAGAUUGUGUCACCUAGUGAUAUCACAGCCAUCUCAGUUUAGCCACGAGAUCCAGGCUUUGUGUUUUUCUCUGCAAAACAGCCAAGGGAAGAAAACACCUUACAAGUUUGGGACUCACUGCUGUGUGA